UGUGCAGGAUUAGUCCUGCUCACGUCUCAUGAAUCACCCUGUAUAUAUGAUGAUUUCGGGGUCGUGGAGCAAGAGAGCCAGACAUCAUACAGAAUCCAAAGAUGAGCCUAAUGAUGUUGGUAAUUAUUGUUUAUCACCAAUAAUGAUGAUUAUUUUUCAGAUGACAAGUAGGAAAAAAACAUUUUUGCAUACAAUUUGGUGACCCUACUCGAUGUGACGUCUUGUCGCUUUCCAUACAGCGUAUGUCAAAAGUCAUAGGGUGACCAUAAUUACUUAGUAUAACAUUAAUUUUACUUGAAAA
Long non-coding RNA from Cydia fagiglandana, 301 nucleotides. RefSeq lists it as uncharacterized. Lineage: Eukaryota; Metazoa; Arthropoda; Insecta; Lepidoptera; Tortricidae. The transcript has 2 exons. The record is from RefSeq and is a predicted model, not a curated record.